This 406-nucleotide ribosomal RNA is filed under the name uncultured bacterium. RNAcentral's name for it is "partial 16S ribosomal RNA". It matches the Rfam family "Bacterial small subunit ribosomal RNA", at positions 30 to 526 of the family's 1533-position model. The record is from RNAcentral.
AUUGAACGCUGGCGGCAGGCCUAACACAUGCAAGUCGAACGAGUGGCGGACGGGUGAGUAAUGUCUGGGAAACUGCCCGAUGGAGGGGGCUAACUAGUGGAAACGGUAGCUAAUACCGCAUACCAUCGGAUGUGCCCAGAUGGGAUUAGCUAGUAUGUGGGGUAAAGGCUAACCUAGGCGACGCUCCCUAGCUGGUCUGAGAGGAUGACCAGCCACACUGGAACUGAGACACGGUCCAGACUCCUACGGGAGGCAGCAGUGGGGAAUAUUGCACAAGGGGCGCAAGCCUGAUGCAGCCAUGUCGCGUGUAUGAAGAAGGCCUUCGGUUUGUAAAGUACUUUCAGCGGGGAGGCGUUACCCGCAGAAGAAGCACCGGCUAACUCCGUGCCAGCAGCCGCGGUAAUUC